UCGAGAAUUUUUCACAAUGGGCGCAAGCCUGAUGGAGCGACGCCGCGUGGGGGAUGAAUGGCUUCGGCCCGUAAACCCCUGUCAUUUGCGAUCAACCGUUAUUGUUUAAGAGAUGAUAACCUGAUAGUAGCGAAAGAGGAAGGGACGGCUAACUCUGUGCCAGCAGCCGCGGUAAUACGGAGGGUCCAAGCGUUAUCCGGAUUUACUGGGUUUAAAGGGUGCGUAGGUGGUCAGAUAAGUCAGUGGUGAAAUCCUGCGGCUCAACCGCAGAACUGCCAUUGAAACUGCCUGACUUGAGUGUAGUUGAGGCGGGUGGAAUGUAUCAUGUAGCGGUGAAAUGCGUAGAUAUGAUACAGAACACCAAUUGAGUAGUCAGCUCGCUAAACUAUUACUGACACUGAGGAACGAAAGCGUGGGUAUCGAACA
This 426-nucleotide ribosomal RNA is filed under the name uncultured prokaryote. Its description in RNAcentral is "bacterial SSU rRNA". It matches the Rfam family "Bacterial small subunit ribosomal RNA", at positions 355 to 774 of the family's 1533-position model. The record is from RNAcentral.